This 253-nucleotide long non-coding RNA is filed under the name Dromaius novaehollandiae (emu). Its description in RNAcentral is "lncRNA (ENSDNVG00000006359.1)". Lineage: Eukaryota; Metazoa; Chordata; Aves; Casuariiformes; Dromaiidae. The record is from RNAcentral.
GGUGAGCGCGGCUGAUGCUGCAGGCUGGACGCCGGCCGGGCCAUGGCGCAGGUGGAGGUGCUGUGGGCGGCCGCCUCGCUGAUGCUGCUGGGCGCCGCCGUGGGCGCCUGCGUGCGGUGCCAGCUCUCCGCUAUUAAGCGAGAAAAGAAGCAGAGCGAACGGAGGAGUCAGUAAGUUGCCUUUCACCAUCGCGCUYCUCCAAAUCUGGCUCACGCAGGGCCGAGCUCCCGGCCCCCGCGCUCCGACGUCUGCC